AAUAUAUCUGGCUUUUUUCUAAUUGCGCAACAAAAAUUUUUGUGAAAUGCUUUUGCCAUUCUGCACUGCAGCAAUGUAAUUUCCAUCUUGAACUGAAGCACUGCCAGUGGAAAGAUUUCUUCUGCAUCUUGUGCAUUUUAAGAAAUGGAGGAAGUGGGCUUUCCAGGGCCAAAAGGGGAGUUUCAUCAGCUUCUUCACUGUUUUCUUCUUGUUCUUACUGCAAUUAAAUUAAUUGAGUUAGUCUAAUGGAACUGGAAUGCCUCUUACCAUGCCCACUUAGGCAGUCUUACCUUUUUCCAUCGCAAUAGUACGGGGUUUUUUUAGGCCACUUAUAGUUACCAAGACUAAGAAAUCCAAUAACAGACAGAAAACCAAUCCUUACUGGUUUUUAAGAGAUAGGACUGCUUGAAAAAUUUAUGUGUUUUCAAUGGAAAAGUCCUGUGUUUUUAUUGGAAAUGAAAAUGUAUUUUGGCUGGCAGCUUAGUCUUUUGCAGCAUUAGUCAUAGCAUUCAUUUUUCAGUGAAUCUCAAGCACUAUGGAAAUAGUGUGGACUGUGGGAGUGGGGGAAGAUGUUGUUUCUCUUUACCCUCAUCCCCUUCUCCCGGAUUGUUUUGGGUUGCCUCUACAGGAAGUAGUACCCCAACUUUGAUGAGUGGUUCCAUCACCUCAUGCUGGAGAACAGAAGCCUGCAUAGACAGCCAGAACUGCUCAGUUCUCUACAAUGGAUGAGACUAAUAGAGAGCUCCUGGCCAAACUUAAACCAGCUGUGUUACAUGAACUGCCUCUGCCUGAUCCUGGAGCCAGCAAGGUUAUGGAAAGCAUUAUUGCAGUUUCUAAGGCUUCCUUUUUUUUUCAAAUUCCACUGCUUCUCCAGCACCUAAACACCUACCAGCCUGAGACACUACUGUCAUUGCGUGCAAAAGGGGUUAGUUUAUCAGUGAGCUUAGUUGGGUGAGUGGAAGCAGAUGAAUGCCAAUAGAAUAAAAAUCCUGAA
Molecule: long non-coding RNA, 994 nt
Organism: Pezoporus occidentalis (night parrot)
Lineage: Eukaryota; Metazoa; Chordata; Aves; Psittaciformes; Psittacidae
Exons: 2
Source: RefSeq, a predicted model, not a curated record